CGAUUGAAAUACUUGCAUUAUUUCCGCGACUGUUAAUCGCCUUGUCGCAGGUUCGAGUCCUGCUCGGGGAGCCA
Molecule: transfer RNA, 74 nt
Filed under: Methylobacterium sp. OAE515
Lineage: Bacteria; Pseudomonadati; Pseudomonadota; Alphaproteobacteria; Hyphomicrobiales; Methylobacteriaceae
Description: tRNA-Asn
Source: RNAcentral